ACUGGCAAGUUGGAAAAAUGUGCAUAACUUCGAAACUAAUUGGAGAAUACGCAUGCGGAGAUGGCUUUAAAUUCAGCAUGAGUGUACCUAACGAACUCUAUACUUCUUUGCCCUGGAUUCACUUAACUUUUCUGCGAACUUUGGUCAACGUAGAGGACUAGGUGAAGAGGCACACUGGCAAGUUCGAAAAAUGUGCAUAACUUCGAAACUAAUUGGAGAAUACGCAUGCGGAGAUGGCUUUGAAUGCAGCAUGAGUGUAUCUAACGAACUCUAUACUUCUUUGCCCUGGAUUCACUUAACUUUUCUGCGAACUUUGGUCAACGUAGAGGACUAGGUGAAGAGGCACACUGGCAAGUUCGAAAAAUGUGCAUAACUUCGAAACUAAUUGGAGAAUGCGCAUGCGGAGAUGGCUUUAAAUGCAGCAUGAGUGUAUCUAACGAACUCUAUACUUCUUUGCCCUGGAUUCACUUAACUUUUCUGCGAACUUUGGUCAACGUAGAGGACUAGGUGCAGAGGCACACUGGCAAGUUCGAAAAAUGUGCAUAACUUCGAAACUAAUAGGAGAAUACGCAUGCGGAGAUGGCUUUGAAUGCAGCAGGAGUGUACCCAACGAACUCUAUACUUCUUUGCCCUGGAUUCACUUAACUUUUCUGCGAACUUUGGUCAACGUAGAGGACUAGGUGCAGAGGCACACUGGCAAGUUGGAAAAAUGUGCAUAACUUCGAAACUAAUUGGAGAAUACGCAUGCGGAGAUGGCUUUAAAUUCAGCAUGAGUGUACCCAACGAACUCUAUACUUCUUUGCCCUGGAUUCACUUAACUUUUCUGCGAACUUUGGUCAACGUAGAGGACUAGGUGAAGAGGCACACUGGCAAGUUGGAAAAAUGUGCAUAACUUCGAAACUAAUUGGAGAAUACGCAUGCGGAGAUGGCUUUAAAUUCAGCAUGAGUGUACCUAACGAACUCUAUACUUCUUUGCCCUGGAUUCACUUAACUUUUCUGCGAACUUUGGUCAACGUAGAGGACUAGGUGCAGAGGCACACUGGCAAGUUGGAAAAAUGUGCAUAACUUCGAAACUAAUUGGAGAAUACGCAUGCGGAGAUGGCCUUGGAUCGAGCAUUGAUGUACCUAAUUAACACUAUACUUUUUUACCCUAGAUUCUCUUAACUUUCCUGCGAACUUUGGUCAAAAAAGAAAAAGCGCGCUGGCCAAUGCUGCGCAUGAGGUAUGACUAUCCCUGUCAAAUGAAUUUGUUAUAUUUAUGCAUGAUUUCUUAACUCAGGAGAAUUACAAUUGCAAAACUUCAUUACUGGGACCUUUCAAAAUGAAUUAAAAAUCCACUUAAAAGAAUCUAUUACCGAUUUAAACCUUCAUUGAUCAGUAAAGUAUCGAAAAGCAUUUCGUAAUAAAUCCGUGCCGCAAUAAAUAACGAAUCGGCUCUUGAUAAAUAUAUCAAAUUUAAUGUUAUGCUGCCGAUCUAUCGAUUAUUAAUAACAUUAAGCAAACAUUGAAAUUUAGCGUGCAAGGCCGGUCAUCGUAAGUGGACGGUCAGUUGCAACAACCGAUCGUUGAUUGGAAAAAGGGCGAAAAGUUUUAAAAAAAAAUACACCAAACGAACAUAAUAGCGAACAUUAAUUCGCCUCCGGUCGACAUUUUACGAAAUACUAAAGUUUUUUGUGAAAGUAAGUCCGACACAAUAAGAAUUUAUGCAUCCAUUGUGAGAUUACCACUGAACUAUAACCGACUUCUUGUGUGCUUCAGGUAAUGCAGGUUGCUGUAAACUGUAAAACCGAAAAUGUCAGCCAGAUAAUGCUAUAAAGUUCUUCUUCGUGCCCCGAGAAAACGUAAAAUCUUUUAAGAAUUUUCAGAUUUACUGAGUAUACGGUCGCGCCGGCCAAUUCUAUUGUUUUCAAACACUAUAUUAAUUAAUAUCCGAGGA
Anthonomus grandis grandis is the source of this 1936-nucleotide long non-coding RNA. RefSeq lists it as uncharacterized. The transcript is spliced from 3 exons. The record is from RefSeq and is a predicted model, not a curated record. Lineage: Eukaryota; Metazoa; Arthropoda; Insecta; Coleoptera; Curculionidae.